CGGAGGAAAAGAAACCAACUGGGAUUACCUUAGUAACGGCGAGUGAAGCGGUAAAAGCUCAAAUUUGAAAUCUGGUACUUUCAGUGCCCGAGUUGUAAUUUGUAGAAUUUGUCUUUGAUUAGGUCCUUGUCUAUGUUCCUUGGAACAGGACGUCAUAGAGGGUGAGAAUCCCGUUUGGCGAGGAUACCUUUUCUCUGUAAGACUUUUUCGAAGAGUCGAGUUGUUUGGGAAUGCAGCUCAAAGUGGGUGGUAAAUUCCAUCUAAAGCUAAAUAUUGGCGAGAGACCGAUAGCGAACAAGUACAGUGAUGGAAAGAUGAAAAGAACUUUGAAAAGAGAGUGAAAAAGUACGUGAAAUUGUUGAAAGGGAAGGGCAUUUGAUCAGACAUGGUGUUUUUUGCAUGCACUCGCCUCUCGUGGGCUUGGGCCUCUCAAAAAUUUCACUGGGCCAACAUCAAUUCUGGCAGCAGGAUAAAUCAUUAAGAAUGUAGCUACUUCGGUAGUGUUAUAGCUUUUUGGAAUACUGUUAGCCGGGAUUGAGGACUGCGCUUCGGCAAGGAUGUUGGCAUAAUGGUUAAAUGCCGCCCGUCUUA
This 591-nucleotide ribosomal RNA is filed under the name Hanseniaspora uvarum. RNAcentral's name for it is "eukaryotic LSU rRNA". It matches the Rfam family "Eukaryotic large subunit ribosomal RNA", at positions 51 to 656 of the family's 3401-position model. Lineage: Eukaryota; Fungi; Ascomycota; Saccharomycetes; Saccharomycodales; Saccharomycodaceae. The record is from RNAcentral.